Molecule: transfer RNA, 73 nt
Filed under: Patiria miniata (bat star)
Lineage: Eukaryota; Metazoa; Echinodermata; Asteroidea; Valvatida; Asterinidae
Description: tRNA-Thr
Rfam family: tRNA
About the family: Transfer RNA (tRNA) molecules are approximately 80 nucleotides in length. Their secondary structure includes four short double-helical elements and three loops (D, anti-codon, and T loops).
Source: Rfam by way of RNAcentral
GGCUGGAUAGCUCAGUUGGUAGAGUACCGGAACGGUAAUCCUGAGGUCGCGGAUUCAAACCCCGCUCCAGUCA